RNAcentral lists this unclassified non-coding RNA (329 nucleotides) under soil metagenome. Its description in RNAcentral is "partial contains 5.8S ribosomal RNA, internal transcribed spacer 2, and large subunit ribosomal RNA". The stretch from base 1 to 120 matches the Rfam family "5.8S ribosomal RNA", at positions 35 to 154 of the family's 154-position model. The record is from RNAcentral.
GAUGAAGAACGUAGCGAAAUGCGAUAAGUAAUGUGAAUUGCAGAAUUCAGUGAAUCAUCGAAUCUUUGAACGCACAUUGCGCCCCCUGGUAUUCCGGGGGGCAUGCCUGUCCGAGCGUCAUUACAACCCUCAAGCUCAGCUUGGUGUUGGGCCCCCCCGCCCCGGCGGGCCCUAAAGUCAGUGGCGGUGCCGUCCGGCUCCGAGCGUAGUAAUUCUUCUCGCUCUGGAGGUCCGGUCGUGUGCUCGCCAGCAACCCCCAAUUUUUUUCAGGUUGACCUCGGAUCAGGUAGGGAUACCCGCUGAACUUAAGCAUAUCAAUAAGCGGAGGA